Molecule: ribosomal RNA, 253 nt
Filed under: uncultured bacterium
Lineage: Bacteria
Description: partial 16S ribosomal RNA
Rfam family: Bacterial small subunit ribosomal RNA
Source: RNAcentral
UACGUAGGGUGCAAGCGUUGUCCGGAAUUAUUGGGCGUAAAGAGCUCGUAGGCGGUCUGUCGCGUCGGCUGUGAAAACUCGGGGCUCAACCCCGAGCCUGCAGUCGAUACGGGCAGACUAGAGGUAUGCAGGGGAGAACGGAAUUCCUGGUGUAGCGGUGAAAUGCGCAGAUAUCAGGAGGAACACCGGUGGCGAAGGCGGUUCUCUGGGCCUGACCUGACGCUGAGGAGCGAAAGCGUGGGGAGCGAACAGG